CUUCAUUCAUUAUUUCCCAAACAAGUCAGUAGAAAAUUGAGGUUUCUGAGCAAUUUGCAGAUUAAUAACCACUGGAGAUGUGGGUCCAUAUAACCUCACCGAGCGAAAAAGUGAGACCCUCCCCUCUCUCCUUCUCUUGAAUAAGGACCUACAGUAGAUAUCUUGAGAAGCAAAAAAAGAGAAAAGCAGAAACAUCUACACACCGGGGUAAUAAUGGAGCGUCCGUGAGCAGGCACGUGAAAACACACAGAGAGCGCCAGCAGCGUAAGUGCUCAACAACUGAUAAGCACACUACAAAUAACAAGAAGAG
This 310-nucleotide long non-coding RNA is filed under the name Homo sapiens (human). Its description in RNAcentral is "non-protein coding lnc-SLC25A48-5:2". The record is from RNAcentral. Lineage: Eukaryota; Metazoa; Chordata; Mammalia; Primates; Hominidae.